RNAcentral lists this unclassified non-coding RNA (250 nucleotides) under Glomus sp. RNAcentral's name for it is "partial internal transcribed spacer 2". The stretch from base 1 to 71 matches the Rfam family "5.8S ribosomal RNA", at positions 84 to 154 of the family's 154-position model. Lineage: Eukaryota; Fungi; Glomeromycota; Glomeromycetes; Glomerales; Glomeraceae. The record is from RNAcentral.
GUGAAUCAUCGAAUUUUUGAACGCAAAUUGCACUUUCUGGUAUUCCGGUAAGUAUGUCUGUUUGAGGCUAAGAUAAAUUAACAUCGGUGUUGUUGCUACGCGUCGUUGUGUGUGAUGCAUCGGAAUUGAGUCGUUCUUUAUCUUUGGUUUUAGUGACUUAAUAUUGUGUUCGUUAUUUGUACGUAUUUAUAUUAUUUUUUACGUUCGUAGUAUCUCAUAUUAGGUGCGGUUAUUGACAUGAUUUAGCGUC